This 164-nucleotide long non-coding RNA is filed under the name Cavia porcellus (domestic guinea pig). RNAcentral's name for it is "lncRNA (ENSCPOG00000035991.1)". The record is from RNAcentral. Lineage: Eukaryota; Metazoa; Chordata; Mammalia; Rodentia; Caviidae.
GAAAGAUGACCUGCACAUGUUACAGGAGAUAUCAUCUUUACUCACUGUUCAAAUGUCGGCACAAACUCUCCAUAGAAAUGCUGCCUGAGACUGUCACACUGCUGCAAGCACAAGAACAAAACAACAGGACACUCACCACCACCAUCACUGCCAAACAACAAUGA